CUUCAGUGAUGAUACGAUGACGAGUCGGAACGGGACACUGUGUCUGUGGGCACUGGGUCAGGGUCACGUUCUGUGUCUCUGGGUUCAGUUACCCACAGCAGCGUGUUCUUCAGUUGAAGACAUCGAGGCAUUUGUCUGAGAAGG
This is a small nucleolar RNA of Oncorhynchus mykiss (rainbow trout), 144 nucleotides long. The record is from Ensembl. NCBI's taxonomy places the organism in Eukaryota, Metazoa, Chordata, Actinopteri, Salmoniformes, Salmonidae.